Long non-coding RNA from Gopherus evgoodei (Goodes thornscrub tortoise), 139 nucleotides. RefSeq lists it as uncharacterized. The record is from RefSeq and is a predicted model, not a curated record. NCBI's taxonomy places the organism in Eukaryota, Metazoa, Chordata, Testudines, Testudinidae. The transcript has 3 exons.
AAAGGACAUCUACAUAGAACACAUCACCGGACAUCAGCAAUACCAGGAGGAAUGAGCUGGAGUGCUGAUAAGAAGUACAGUCAGGAAAGUAACUGAAAUACUUUCCUCAUGGAUUGUAUUUUUUGCCUUUUCUCUAAAU